Molecule: long non-coding RNA, 427 nt
Organism: Rhinichthys klamathensis goyatoka
Lineage: Eukaryota; Metazoa; Chordata; Actinopteri; Cypriniformes; Leuciscidae
Exons: 2
Source: RefSeq, a predicted model, not a curated record
AAGGAAGGAAGGAAGGAAGGAAGGAAGGAAGGAAGGAAGGAAGGAAGGAAGGAAGGAAGGAAGGAAGGAAGGAAGGAAGGAAGGAAGGAAGGAAGGAAGGAAGGAAGGAAGGAAGGAAGGAAGGAAGGAAGGAAGGAAGGAAGGAAGGAAGGAAGGAAGGAUCUCUGAGUCGUUUUGUUUAGGCAGUAAGUUCUAAUCCUUUCAGGGCUCUUUCCUUUAAAUGAGCAUUUUAAUCUUUUGGAAGAUUAUAUUUGCAUCAGUUAUUUUAGACCCGAUAAAAUAUAAUAAUUCUGAAACUAGUGAGUUAAAGAAACAUCAGAUGAAAAAUAAAACAACAGAAGAAUGCAAGGAAGGAUUAUGGUCAAUACGAGGCCCCGUGUUAUUGCUUUUUCCCCAGGGAUGAAACAAAUUAUAAAAUGAAAUCUUA